Cottoperca gobio is the source of this 1875-nucleotide long non-coding RNA. Ensembl annotates it as collagen alpha-1(I) chain-like. The record is from Ensembl. Lineage: Eukaryota; Metazoa; Chordata; Actinopteri; Perciformes; Bovichtidae.
AUGAGUGCUUCAGGUAUUAGGGAGGCAAGAACAGAUAUGAAAGAACUCAGACAUAUGGCACCACAGAUAGAUCUUAGAGUAACAGGAACUGGAUUCCCAGCGCCUAAUAUGAGAGGUCCAGGCAUGCAAGGCAUAAGUCCCAACAUUUGGGGUCCUGGAUCACACAUACAAGAUCUAUUUAGUAUGCAAGGCCUGAACCCAGAAGUAAAAUAUCCAGGACCUGAUAUGAGAAACAGUGAAAUAGAAAUGAGUGGUCAAAUGCUUGUACCGGCUGUUACAAAUUCACAAAUGGGAGGGCCAGACCUACAGAAUGAGAGAAGGCCUGGGCCUGAGAUAAGAGACACAAGGGGGCCUUUAUCAGCUAUGUAUCAUCCAAGCCAAGGAAACCAAGAUGGCAGGCCAGGUGUAAUGGAAAUGGGGAGAAAUCAAUCUUUCGGGGGUCCACAGAUAGAAGGUAUGGCUCCAGAUAUAGGAAGAGGUCAAAAGGAUAGAGGUGAAAGUCCACAUACUGGGGGUAUGAGACCUGCUAUAAGGGGUGGAGGUGUAAGAGAUCCAUCAGGUCAUUCUUUCAGAGGCUCAGAAAGAAUUCAAAGGCAAUCAAGGCAUGAUGGCAGUCUGGUUUUAGCGGAAAGGGGUUUUCAGGCAUAUGGUGGUCGAGAAAGGAGUUUAGAUUCAGAUUCAACUACAGGUUCAGAGGGUAGACAUCUAAUAGCAGAUAGACUAUCCCCAGCAAUGACAGAUGAAAGGUGGGGCCUACAAAAAGGGCGAGAUGUACCCAUUAGAGGACCAGGGCCAAACAUAAAUUAUGAAAGUGGUGGUUCUAACAUAUCCUCCUUUGGACAAGACAGUACUGGGUCUAGAGAACAUUUCAAGGAGCCACGUCCCGGUAUUAGGGCUGAAAAGAGUGUCAUUGCCUCAGAAAUGAGAGAAUCAGAAGCUAUUCUUGAAUUAAGAAGGCCAGAUAUGACACAAAUAAGCUAUAUGGGGCCUGGUCCAAUUAUGGAUAGUAUGGGUGGCUCAGAUACAAGGGGUGAUGACAUGCCAAACAUUACAAAUCCAGAUUGGAGAGGUCCAGGACCAGGUGUUGUUAGACCUGAUAUGAGGGGUCAGACCAGUCUAGAUUGGAGUGACCCAAGAACAGACAUAAGAGAUGAUUGGGAAGGGCCAGAUAGGAGAGGAUCAGGGCCAUUUAUACAAGAAGAAUGGAGAGUCCAUCAGCCUGAUAUGAGAGGUCCAUACAUUGAGAGCCACGAGCCUGACGGAAGAGGUGCUGGAGACCUAGACUUUAGAGAACCAGAGUCUGAAAUGAGCGGUCCACACAUGGAGGACCUUAGGCAUGACAGGAGAAGACCAAGGGGUCCGGAUUUCAUGGCAACAGGGGGUCCAGAAUUUGUGGGACCACGACUUGAAAGGAGAGGUCCAGCUUUGGAGGGACCUGGGCCUGACAGGAGGCGGCCUGGGGAUCCAGAUUUCAGGGGACCAGGGCCUGAAAGGAGAUGCUCUUCAAUAGAGGCUCCUGGGCCUGUUAGGAGAGGACCAGCCGGUUCGGAUUUCAGAGGACCAAGACCUGAAAUGAGAGGUCCAGCUAUGGAGGGUCCUGUGCCUGAAAGGAGAGGACCUGGAGGUCCAGAUUUUAGGGGAUCAAGACCUGCAAACAGGGGCUUGUCUAUUGAGGGACUAGGGCCUGAAAGGAGAUGCUUAUCUAUGGAGAGUCCUGGCCCUAAUCGUAGAGGACCUGGAGAGCCAGAUUUUGGAGGGCCAGGACCUGAAAGGAGAGGUUCAGCUAUGGCGGGUCCUGGGCCUGACAGGAGAGGACCUGGAGGUCCAGAUUUCAAGGGACAAGGCCCCGAAAGCAGAGGCUUAUCAAUGGAGGGU